RNAcentral lists this ribosomal RNA (421 nucleotides) under uncultured cyanobacterium. RNAcentral describes it as "bacterial SSU rRNA". It matches the Rfam family "Bacterial small subunit ribosomal RNA", at positions 359 to 795 of the family's 1533-position model. The record is from RNAcentral. Lineage: Bacteria; Bacillati; Cyanobacteriota.
GAAUUUUCCGCAAUGGGGGCAACCCUGACGGAGCGACGCCGCGUGCAGGAUGAAGGCCUUCGGGUCGUAAACUGCUUUUAUUUGGGACGAACAAAUGACGGUACCAAAUGAAUAAGAGGUUGCUAACUCUGUGCCAGCAGCAGCGGUAAUACAGAGACCUCAAGCGUUAUCCGGAUUCAUUGGGCGUAAAGGGUCCGCAGGCUGUUGUGUAAGUCGUUUGUUAAAUCUUCGGGCUUAACCCGGAGACAGCGGGCGAUACUGCACAACUAGAGACUGGGAGAGGCACACGGAAUUGCCGGUGUAGCGGUAAAAUGCGUUAAUAUCGGCAAGAACACCAAAGGCGAAGGCAGUGUGCUGGAACAGUUCUGACGCUCAGGGACGAAAGCGUGGGUAGCGAAAGGGAUUAGAUACCCCUGUAGUC